This 429-nucleotide ribosomal RNA is filed under the name Acidobacteriota bacterium. RNAcentral describes it as "Acidobacteria bacterium partial 16S ribosomal RNA". It matches the Rfam family "Bacterial small subunit ribosomal RNA", at positions 355 to 776 of the family's 1533-position model. Lineage: Bacteria; Pseudomonadati; Acidobacteriota. The record is from RNAcentral.
UGGGGAAUUUUGAACAAUGGGGGAAACCCUGAUCCAGCCAUCCCGCGUGUGCGAUGAAGGCCUUCGGGUUGUAAAGCACUUUUGGCAGGAAAGAAACGUCAUGGGUUAAUACCCCGUGAAACUGACGGUACCUGCAGAAUAAGCACCGGCUAACUACGUGCCAGCAGCCGCGGUAAUACGUAGGGUGCAAGCGUUAAUCGGAAUUACUGGGCGUAAAGCGUGCGCAGGCGGUUCGGAAAGAAAGAUGUGAAAUCCCAGAGCUCAACUUUGGAACUGCAUUUUUAACUACCGGGCUAGAGUGUGUCAGAGGGAGGUGGAAUUCCGCGUGUGGCAGUGAAAUGCGUAGAUAUGCGGAGGAACACCGAUGGCGAAGGCAGCCUCCUGGGAUAACACUGACGCUCAUGCACGAAAGCGUGGGGAGCAAACAGG